GCAUAUCAAUAAGCGGGGGGG
Molecule: ribosomal RNA, 21 nt
Filed under: Archaeospora sp. 0211
Lineage: Eukaryota; Fungi; Glomeromycota; Glomeromycetes; Archaeosporales; Archaeosporaceae
Also listed under: 1 other name
Description: partial 28S ribosomal RNA
Source: RNAcentral